This 1231-nucleotide ribosomal RNA is filed under the name Pselaphinae sp. 4 EF-2015. RNAcentral describes it as "16S ribosomal RNA". The stretch from base 1020 to 1179 matches the Rfam family "Archaeal large subunit ribosomal RNA", at positions 2542 to 2701 of the family's 2987-position model. The record is from RNAcentral. Lineage: Eukaryota; Metazoa; Arthropoda; Insecta; Coleoptera; Staphylinidae.
AAAAAUGUUAUGAGUAAUUUUUAGAAAAAAUAAUUUUUUGUUUAUUUAGUGAUUAAUGAAAUAAUAAUGAUAGUUAUAGAGUAAUAGUAUUGUGAAAGAAUUAUUUUAAUUAAUUAGAAGUAGAUUAUUUGUUGUACCUUGUGUAUCAGGGUUUAUUAAAAUUUUUUAAUUAUAAUAAAUUUUUAGAAUUUUUAAGGGUAAAGAAAUUAUAAAUAUAAUUGUAAAAUAAAUUUUUAUAAUUUUUUUUUAGUAAUGAAAUGUUAUUCGUUUAAAAAUAUAUCUAAUUUUUAAAGAAAUAAAUUUAAUUUAAUAAUUUAUAUAUUUUUUAUUAUAUAAUAAUAAAUAUAAUAAAUUUUAAAUAUUUUAAGGGAUAAGCUUUAAAAUAGAUAAGUUAAAAUAAAUAUUUAUAUUAAAAUAUAUAUAAUUAUAAAUUUUAAAUAUUAAUAGUUUGUUAUAAUUAGUUUUAAUUGAAAUAUAAUUUUAAUUAGUUUAUAAUUAUUUAUUUAAAUAAUUUUAUAAAUUAUAUUUAAAAUUAAAUAAUGAUAAAAUUAGUAUAAGUUUAAAUUAAUAAUAUUAUUUAUUUUAGGUUAUUUAGAGGAAUUCGACAAAAAUUUAUUUCGCCUGUUUAAUAAAAACAUGUCUUUUUGAUUAUAAUUUAAAGUCUAAUCUGCCCACUGAAAAUUUGAAGGGCCGCAGUAAUUUGACUGUGCGAAGGUAGCAUAAUAAUUAGUUUUUUAAUUGAAAGCUAGAAUGAAUGAUUGGACGAGAAUAAAGUUGUCUUUAUUUAAUUUUAGUAGAAUUUAAUUUUUAAGUUAAAAAGCUUAAAUAAAAUUUAAAGACGAGAAGACCCUAUAGAGUUUUAUAUUAAAAAUUUAUUUAAUUAUUAUAAUUAUUAUUUAAAUUUGAUAAUAAUAUUUUAUUGGGGUGAUAGAAAAAUUUAUUAAACUUUUUUAUAAUAAAAACAAUUAAUUUUGUAUAUUUGAUCUUAAAUUUAGAUUAAUUGAUUAAAUUACCUUAGGGAUAACAGCGUAAUUUUUUUGGAGAGUUCUUAUUGAUAAAAAAGAUUGCGACCUCGAUGUUGGAUUAAGAUUAAAUUUUAAUGUAGAAGUUAAAAAUUUUAAGUCUGUUCGACUUUUAAAAUCUUACAUGAUCUGAGUUUAAACCGGUGUGAGCCAGGUUGGUUUCUAUCUUAAAUAAAUUAUUUUAUUUUAGUACGAAAGGACCAAAUAAA